CCUCAGCUCCCAAAUGUUCAGUCAUUUUCUAUUCAUUCCGAUAGUUAGGUCACAUUUAAAUUUACACAUAGCGCAAGUUCCGAGCGAAUUUUUGAAUGACUCAUUUUAUGCUGCAACUACCUUAAUUCUAGUCCCGCCAAAUCGAUCGGUCAAUCGCGAUUUUCAGGAUCGGUGAGCCGACCGCGUCGUUGUUCGCGAUAGAGCGACAGACAAAAGUCGCACGCGAAUCGAAUAGGUGUCGUGCGGCUGUCGCAUGCCGGAAGAGAAGCCGAUCCUCCGCGGAAGAUCCGGCAGGAGGUGUACCUGCGGAUGGGAGAUAAAGCUCGGUUACGGCGUGGCUUACACGCUGGCCGUCUUCGAGGCCAAACGUUUCCUCGUGUUCGCCCUGGAAAUGUUCGCGGAGUGGCAGGUGAUCCGUUUUGCAGGUGGUUUCCAGCCGUUCGUUCUCACCUUGGCGGACGUGGCUCUGGGAUUACCGUGCGCGCUUAUAACCGUGCGCACUAUACGCAGAGGCGGGCCGAAUUUGCGCCCGAAGAACCACGCGCUAAGAACUAAGCGAGUGCUGCGGUAUCUCCUGGUGGCGGUGGUCGUGUGCGCCGCUAUGAACACCGCGACCUUGGCUUCGACAGGGUGUCACAUCAGUGUGAAGCGGGAGACGUUGGCCGGCGUCUUCAACGCCUCCAUGCGACUGUACGUCAGUGCGGCGUCCUACAAAUACGCCAUCGACGAGAUUCAAUUUACGCUGCAGUGCUGCGGUCACACCUCUUACGCCGACUGGUUCCGCUUCGAUUGGCAGAAGAUGGAUUACGGCGAGGAGAUGGCGGGGCAAGACGGAAUCUCGGACGAGGACUACGGGGAUCGCGGUGUACCCUUCAGCUGCUGUAGUCUGCGCGCGAUGGGGCCGUGUACGCACGCGGAGAUGACGAAUGACGAAACGAUCAACGUGCACGGCUGCGCGGAAGUCAUCAGCCCCAUUGUUCUUAGGGUUGUCAUAAUCGCUUACGUCAUGACUGGCACUUUAAUCGUCGCUCAAGUGCUAUUAGCCUUCUUAAUCGCCAGAACGAUCGGCAAAUCCCUGCCUCUUCGAUCGUCCAUUUCUCGCGCGAGACGUUCCGCCGCGCCGUUCACCAUUAUAAACACACUCCCAAGGACUUACGUGCCGCGAUUUUCCUCGGUGAAGAAAUCCGCCUGGUACAGGAGACCGAACGCCCGUCCAUCGUCGAACGACGACGUCUGCAUCAAGGAAAACCAGAAAGCUACGUCGCCCGCGGCGACAUGCAGUUGUCCUAUUUUGAAUCGAGGUAAUACCUGGGAGAUCGCGAGGAUUAAGCCGAGCGUUCACGAGGAACACAGAAUAUCCGUGAAACGCCUUCGCAGCAUGCACCUGCGUUGAAGCCUUUUUUGUGCUAAUUAUCUGCAGAUCUUCGGAGUGAUUAAAACAACGGUUCUUUCGGGCAACUGCGAACUAUCGGUGACAAAAUGCUAAUUACCUGCUAUUAGAGAUAAGUCGUGACGCAGUGUGGACAGACGGUGACCCCGGGGUGGGGGUAAGUAGUUAAAUUUCCUAUCUGAAACUCAAGAUCAGCACACGUGAGCUCAGUGCGGUUCAAAACAUCGUGCGAACGACGGUGACUCGUCAUGAGUGUUAUCGUGAUUGAGUCUCACGAGCGCCUAUACCGGGUGGCUGAGCCGUUCACGCGUGAAGUGUAAGGUGGCAGAUUUUUUUUCCACUCUCGCUAUCCC
Dinoponera quadriceps is the source of this 1743-nucleotide RNA transcript. RefSeq lists it as uncharacterized. Lineage: Eukaryota; Metazoa; Arthropoda; Insecta; Hymenoptera; Formicidae. The record is from RefSeq and is a predicted model, not a curated record. The transcript is spliced from 6 exons.